RNAcentral lists this ribosomal RNA (534 nucleotides) under uncultured bacterium. RNAcentral describes it as "bacterial SSU rRNA". It matches the Rfam family "Bacterial small subunit ribosomal RNA", at positions 774 to 1304 of the family's 1533-position model. The record is from RNAcentral.
AGUAAAUAGAUACCCCGGUAGUCCACGCCGUAAACGAUGUCGACUUGGAGGUUGUGCCCUUGAGGCGUGGCUUCCGGAGCUAAACGCGUUAAAGUCGACCGCCUGGGGAGUACGGCCGCAAGGUUAAAACUCAAAUGAAUUGACGGGGGCCCGCACAAGCGGUGGAGCUAUGUGGUUUAAUUCGAUGCAACGCGAAGAACCUUACCUACUCUUGACAUCCAGAGAACUUAGCAGAGAUGCUUUGGUGCCUUCGGGAACUCUGAGACAGGUGCUGCAUGGCUGUCGUCAGCUCGUGUUGUGAAAUGUUGGGUUAAGUCCCGCAACGAGCGCAACCCUUAUCCUUUGUUGCCAGCGGUUAGGCCGGGAACUCAAAGGAGACUGCCAGUGAUAAACUGGAGGAAGGUGGGGAUGACGUCAAGUCAUCAUGGCCCUUACGAGUAGGGCUACACACGUGCUACAAUGGCGCAUACAAAGAGAAGCGACCUCGCGAGAGCAAGCGGACCUCAUAAAGUGCGUCGUAGUCCGGAUUGGAGU